RNAcentral lists this ribosomal RNA (484 nucleotides) under Bacillus licheniformis. Its description in RNAcentral is "bacterial SSU rRNA". It matches the Rfam family "Bacterial small subunit ribosomal RNA", at positions 1 to 474 of the family's 1533-position model. The record is from RNAcentral. Lineage: Bacteria; Bacillati; Bacillota; Bacilli; Caryophanales; Bacillaceae.
UUCAUGGAGAGUUUGAUCCUGGCUCAGGACGAACGCUGGCGGCGUGCCUAAUACAUGCAAGUCGAGCGGACCGACGGGAGCUUGCUCCCUUAGGUCAGCGGCGGACGGGUGAGUAACACGUGGGUAACCUGCCUGUAAGACUGGGAUAACUCCGGGAAACCGGGGCUAAUACCGGAUGCUUGAUUGAACCGCAUGGUUCAAUCAUAAAAGGUGGCUUUUAGCUACCACUUACAGAUGGACCCGCGGCGCAUUAGCUAGUUGGUGAGGUAACGGCUCACCAAGGCGACGAUGCGUAGCCGACCUGAGAGGGUGAUCGGCCACACUGGGACUGAGACACGGCCCAGACUCCUACGGGAGGCAGCAGUAGGGAAUCUUCCGCAAUGGACGAAAGUCUGACGGAGCAACGCCGCGUGAGUGAUGAAGGUUUUCGGAUCGUAAAACUCUGUUGUUAGGGAAGAACAAGUACCGUUCGAAUAGGGCGGCA